This 500-nucleotide ribosomal RNA is filed under the name uncultured bacterium. RNAcentral's name for it is "partial 16S ribosomal RNA". It matches the Rfam family "Bacterial small subunit ribosomal RNA", at positions 30 to 523 of the family's 1533-position model. The record is from RNAcentral.
AUUGAACGCUGGCGGAAUGCUUUACACAUGCAAGUCGAACGGCAGCACGGACUUCGGUCUGGUGGCGAGUGGCGAACGGGUGAGUAAUGUAUCGGAACGUGCCCAGUCGUGGGGGAUAACGUAGUGAAAAUUACGCUAAUACCGCAUACGAUCUAUGGAUGAAAGCGGGGGAUCGCAAGACCUCGCGCGCUUUGAGCGGCCGAUAUCAGAUUAGGUAGUUGGUGGGGUAAAGGCCCACCAAGCCAACGAUCUGUAGCUGGUAUGAGAGGACGACCAGCCACACUGGAACUGAGGCACGGUCCAGACUCCUACGGGAGGCAGCAGUGGGGAAUUUUGGACAAUGGGCGAAAGCCUGAUCCAGCCAUUCCGCGUGCAGGAUGAAGGCCCUCGGGUUGUAAACUGCUUUUGUACAGAACGAAAAGGUUUCUACUAAUACUAGGAGCUCAUGACGGUACUGUAAGAAUAAGCACCGGCUAACUACGUGCCAGCCGCCGCAGUAA